This 266-nucleotide ribosomal RNA is filed under the name uncultured bacterium. RNAcentral describes it as "partial 16S ribosomal RNA". It matches the Rfam family "Bacterial small subunit ribosomal RNA", at positions 793 to 1055 of the family's 1533-position model. The record is from RNAcentral.
GUCCACGCCGUAAACGAUGAGUGCUAGCUGCUGGGAUACUUCUUUUCUCGGUGGCGUAGCUAACGCGUUAAGCACUCCGCCUGGGGAGUACGGCCGCAAGGCUAAAACUCAAAGGAAUUGACGGGGGCCCGCACAAGCGGUGGAGUAUGUGGUUUAAUUCGAUGCAACGCGAAGAACCUUACCUGGGUUUGACAUCCCGGAACCUGGCCGAAAGGUUGGGUGCCAUCGCAAGAUGGAGCCGGAGACAGGUGCUGCAUGGCUGUCGU